AUCUAGCGCUGACGUUCUGGGUACCCCUGUUCCGAUGUGGGCUGCCUCUUCCCUCCCCUCCUGCAGGUCCUCUCCUGUUCACCUGUCUUGUCCCCUGCUGACGGAUCCUGG
Molecule: long non-coding RNA, 111 nt
Organism: Oryctolagus cuniculus (rabbit)
Lineage: Eukaryota; Metazoa; Chordata; Mammalia; Lagomorpha; Leporidae
Rfam family: Pvt1 oncogene conserved region 6
Source: Rfam